This 440-nucleotide ribosomal RNA is filed under the name uncultured bacterium. Its description in RNAcentral is "partial 16S ribosomal RNA". It matches the Rfam family "Bacterial small subunit ribosomal RNA", at positions 338 to 795 of the family's 1533-position model. The record is from RNAcentral.
CCUACGGGAGGCAGCAGUGGGGGAUAUUGCACAAUGGGGGGAACCCUGAUGCAGCGACGCCGCGUGAGCGAAGAAGUACCUCGGUAUGGAAAGCUCUAUCAGCAGGGAAGAAAAUGACGGUACCUGACUAAGAAGCCCCGGCUAAAUACGUGCCAGCAGCCGCGGUAAUACGUAUGGGGCAAGCGUUAUCCGGAUUUACUGGGUGUAAAGGGAGCGCAGUCGGCCUGCCAAGUCUGGUGUGAAAAUGCGGGGCCCAACCCCGGGCCUGCAUUGGAAACUGGCGGGCUGGAGUGUAGGAGGGGCAGGCGGAAUUCGUGGUGUAGCGGUGAAAUGCGUAGAUAUUAGGAGGAACACCGGUUGCGAAGGCGGCUUACUGGACCGUAACUGACGUUGAGGCUCGAAAGCGUGGGGAGCAAACAGGAUUAGAUACCCGAGUAGUC